This 265-nucleotide ribosomal RNA is filed under the name uncultured archaeon. RNAcentral describes it as "partial 16S ribosomal RNA". It matches the Rfam family "Archaeal small subunit ribosomal RNA", at positions 717 to 982 of the family's 1478-position model. The record is from RNAcentral.
ACACGACUACAUUAGAUACCCCGGUAGUCCCAGCCCUAAACGAUGCGCGUUAGGUGUAUCGGUGACCACGAGUCACCGAGGUGCCGAAGGGAAACCGUGAAACGUGCCGCCUGGGAAGUACGGGUCGCAAGGCUGAAACUUAAAGGAAUUGGCGGGGAGCACCACAACGGGUGGAGCCUGCGGUUUAAUUGGACUCAACGCCGGGAAGCUCACCGGAUAAGACAGCGGAAUGAUUGCCGGGCUGAAGACCCUGCAUGACCAGCUG